RNAcentral lists this long non-coding RNA (251 nucleotides) under Musa acuminata (dwarf banana). Its description in RNAcentral is "long non-coding RNA (MACU_LNC011648)". The record is from RNAcentral. Lineage: Eukaryota; Viridiplantae; Streptophyta; Magnoliopsida; Zingiberales; Musaceae.
CCAAACCUUAUAAUGCCUUUGGAAGGGGAGACAUUUAAGAAUACAAAAUCUCCGAUUUCAAACUCAAUAUCUCGUCUUCUAUUGUCAGCAUAACUCUUUUGACGACUCUGAGCAGCUUUUAACCUUUUCCUUGUAACUUGAAUUUUCUCGGUAGUUUCUUGUACUUUGUCCGGUGCUAAUAACUUUCUGUCACCAACUUCCUCCCAACAUAUAGGUGUUAUGCACUUUCGCCCAUAUAAAGCUUCAUAAGG